GUUUAUAUAGUAUAAUAAUAUUACAUUUAACUUCCAAUUAAAAUAUUUAAUUUAACUUAAUAUAAAUA
RNAcentral lists this transfer RNA (68 nucleotides) under Meranoplus bicolor. Its description in RNAcentral is "tRNA-Gly". Lineage: Eukaryota; Metazoa; Arthropoda; Insecta; Hymenoptera; Formicidae. The record is from RNAcentral.